GGGGAAGUAGCUCAGUGGCACAGUGCUUGCCUUGCAUGCAUGAAGCCCUGGGUUCCAUUCCCAGUAUCUGCU
This 72-nucleotide transfer RNA is filed under the name Heterocephalus glaber (naked mole-rat). It matches the Rfam family "tRNA". From Rfam's summary of the family: Transfer RNA (tRNA) molecules are approximately 80 nucleotides in length. Their secondary structure includes four short double-helical elements and three loops (D, anti-codon, and T loops). Further hydrogen bonds mediate the characteristic L-shaped molecular structure. tRNAs have two regions of fundamental functional importance: the anti-codon, which is responsible for specific mRNA codon recognition, and the 3' end, to which the tRNAs corresponding amino acid is attached (by aminoacyl-tRNA synthetases). tRNAs cope with the degeneracy of the genetic code in two manners: having more than one tRNA (with a specific anti-codon) for a particular amino acid; and 'wobble' base-pairing, i.e. permitting non-standard base-pairing at the 3rd anti-codon position. The record is from Rfam by way of RNAcentral. Lineage: Eukaryota; Metazoa; Chordata; Mammalia; Rodentia; Bathyergidae.